RNAcentral lists this ribosomal RNA (361 nucleotides) under Paracidovorax wautersii. RNAcentral's name for it is "bacterial SSU rRNA". It matches the Rfam family "Bacterial small subunit ribosomal RNA", at positions 159 to 515 of the family's 1533-position model. Lineage: Bacteria; Pseudomonadati; Pseudomonadota; Betaproteobacteria; Burkholderiales; Comamonadaceae. The record is from RNAcentral.
UUUGCUAAUACCGCAUACGAUCUACGGAUGAAAGCAGGGGACCGCAAGGCCUUGCGCGGACGGAGCGGCCGAUGGCAGAUUAGGUAGUUGGUGGGAUAAAAGCUUACCAAGCCGACGAUCUGUAGCUGGUCUGAGAGGACGACCAGCCACACUGGGACUGAGACACGGCCCAGACUCCUACGGGAGGCAGCAGUGGGGAAUUUUGGACAAUGGGCGAAAGCCUGAUCCAGCCAUGCCGCGUGCAGGAUGAAGGCCUUCGGGUUGUAAACUGCUUUUGUACGGAACGAAAAGCCUCUUUCUAAUAAAGAGAGGUCAUGACGGUACCGUAAGAAUAAGCACCGGCUAACUACGUGCCAGCAGC